AAAUUAUUGUAACGCCCCUAAUAGUCCCACAUCGAAUGGGAUACUGAUUCUGAUUAGUUUAUAUGAGGCCUACACGCUAGUAAUAAUAACCCGGCUUAAACAUUUUGGACUGUGGUUGGGCCCAACGAGUUAUUAUUGCUAGUGGGCUGGGUCGUUGUAAUUGGUAUCAGAGCCAGUUCACCAGCUGGAUAUGUGUGGCAAGUCUCGGCUGAGCUAGGGUCUGGAUGACGGGCUAGUGAGAUGAGUCUCAGAUCGCCUGGUGAUCUUGGACUGUGUGUGUGAUUGGACUGACGAGGACGUCAGAGCCUUAACAGGGGGUAUCUGUGAUACUCCAAU
RNAcentral lists this long non-coding RNA (336 nucleotides) under Ananas comosus (pineapple). Its description in RNAcentral is "long non-coding RNA (ACOM_LNC028287)". The record is from RNAcentral. Lineage: Eukaryota; Viridiplantae; Streptophyta; Magnoliopsida; Poales; Bromeliaceae.